AUGCAUGCGACGAGUUCAAAAUAGGACGAAACACGCGUCCUGGAU
Molecule: non-coding RNA, 45 nt
Filed under: Schistosoma mattheei
Lineage: Eukaryota; Metazoa; Platyhelminthes; Trematoda; Strigeidida; Schistosomatidae
Source: RNAcentral